RNAcentral lists this ribosomal RNA (433 nucleotides) under uncultured bacterium. RNAcentral's name for it is "partial 16S ribosomal RNA". It matches the Rfam family "Bacterial small subunit ribosomal RNA", at positions 29 to 507 of the family's 1533-position model. The record is from RNAcentral.
AACGAACGCUGGCGGCAUGCCUAACACAUGCAAGUCGAACGAGACCUUCGGGUCUAGUGGCGCACGGGUGCGUAACGCGUGGGAACCUGCCCUUAGGUUCGGAAUAACUCCCCGAAAGGGGUGCUAAUACCGGAUAAUGUCUUCGGACCAAAGAUUUAUCGCCUUUGGUUGGGCCCGCGUUGGAUUAGCUAGUUGGUAGGGUAAAAGCCUGCCAAGGCGACGAUCCAUAGCUGGUCUGAGAGGAUGAUCAGCCACACUGGGACUGAGACACGGCCCAGACUCCUACGGGAGGCAGCAGUGGGGAAUAUUGGACAAUGAGCGAAAGCCUGAUCCAGCAAGGCCGCGUGAGUGAUGAAGGCCUUAGGGUUGUAAAGCGCUUUUACCCGGGAUGAUAAUGACAGUACCGGGAGAAUAAGCUCCGGCUAACUCCGUG